UACGGGGGGAGCAAGCGUUGUUCGGAUUUACUGGGCGUAAAGGGCGCGUAGGCGGUCAGCACAAGUCAGUUGUGAAAUCUCCGGGCUUAACUCGGAAAGGUCAACUGAUACUGUGCGACUAGAGUGCGGAAGGGGCAACUGGAAUUCUCGGUGUAGCGGUGAAAUUCGUAGAUAUCGGGAGGAACACCGGUGGCGAAGGCGGCGACCUGGGUCGAUACUGACGCUGAGGUGCGAAAGCGUGGGGAGCAAACAGG
This 254-nucleotide ribosomal RNA is filed under the name uncultured bacterium. Its description in RNAcentral is "partial 16S ribosomal RNA". It matches the Rfam family "Bacterial small subunit ribosomal RNA", at positions 524 to 776 of the family's 1533-position model. The record is from RNAcentral.